GCCUCGCUAGCUCAAUCGGUAGAGCGUGAGACUCUUAUAUGCGAGUUUUGAGAAUUUCCAGGAUAUCUCAAGGUUGCGGGUUCGACCCCCGCGUGGGGCU
This is a non-coding RNA of Ramaria rubella, 100 nucleotides long. NCBI's taxonomy places the organism in Eukaryota, Fungi, Basidiomycota, Agaricomycetes, Gomphales, Gomphaceae. The record is from the annotation of a GenBank genome assembly.